Molecule: ribosomal RNA, 503 nt
Filed under: uncultured bacterium
Lineage: Bacteria
Description: partial 16S ribosomal RNA
Rfam family: Bacterial small subunit ribosomal RNA
Source: RNAcentral
AUUGAACGCUGGCGGCAGGCUUAACACAUGCAAGUCGAGCGGAGUGAUGGUGCUUGCACUAUCACUUAGCGGCGGACGGGUGAGUAAUGCUUAGGAAUCUGCCUAUUAGUGGGGGACAACAUCUCGAAAGGGAUGCUAAUACCGCAUACGUCCUACGGGAGAAAGCAGGGGAUCACUUGUGACCUUGCGCUAAUAGAUGAGCCUAAGUCGGAUUAGCUAGUUGGUGGGGUAAAGGCCUACCAAGGCGACGGUCUGUAGCGGGUCUGAGAGGAUGAUCCGCCACACUGGGACUGAGGCACGGCCCAGACUCCUACGGGGGGCAGCAGUGGGGAAUAUUGGACAAUGGUGGGAACCCUGAUCCAGCCAUGCCGCGUGUGUGAAGAAGGCCUUAUGGUUGUAAAGCACUUUGAGCGAGGAGGAGGCUCUUUUGGUUAAUACCCAAGAUGAGUGGACGUUACUCGCAGAAUAAGCACCGGCUAACUCUGUGCCAGCCGCCGCAGUAA